Molecule: long non-coding RNA, 1345 nt
Filed under: Panax ginseng (ginseng)
Lineage: Eukaryota; Viridiplantae; Streptophyta; Magnoliopsida; Apiales; Araliaceae
Description: long non-coding RNA (PGIN_LNC013020)
Source: RNAcentral
UCAGAAAGGGGAAACACUGGCAAUAUAACUACACUUCUUGUAUACCUGCAAGUUUUACACAUGGGAUGCAUGUAUUUGUUUUAUUCAUUCUAGUAGAAUAACAAAUCUUCAAAAUCUAAUAAGCUAUCAAUAUAUUUCACUUGUGUAUAAUAUACAUCUCUGGGAGCAAAUUAAAGAACAUUAGAUUGCACCUGUACGUAAACUGCAAAACUUCGUCUAUCUGAAAACAUAUCAUAACUUUGAAAGAAGCUAAUUAAUAUAUCAAUUGUGAAGCGGGUUUGGUCCACCUGGAACAGUCCGGUCUGACGUUCCAUAAAUUGGGUGGGUGCCAACACUUUUGGCUUCCGCGGGAGCUGGUGCAGGAAAAUGGCAUGGAAACGGGGAACUGAAUUGUGUUUUAAUUUCUGUCGUCUUUGUUCCUUCAAUUGCACUUCUGUGGAUAUCACGGCAAGUUGAGAGCUGACCGAAGGUGAGCAUGACCAUGAUGACCAGAAACGGUACCGCAGGAUAUUGAACACCCAUGAUUCUUAUGAUGAAGAACUGAACUAGAAACCAAAGGAUGAUUGAAUUAAUGGAGUUUGUUCUCUAAUGCAGGCUCAGGCUGUGAAGUAUUUAAUAUGGCUUUGGUAGAAAAACUUGGUCAUUAUAAAAUGACAAAAAUGCCCUUUUAUUUCUCCAAUUAUUAUUUUUAUGAUGUAAUUGCUGUUGUACCUAAAAUUGCCAAGUUCUUGUUUUCUCUUAAAGAUCUGCUAAACCAGAUUCAUCUUAUUAGCACUAGUGUUGAUUGUUGAUGAUCUGCAAUGCAGGUGAUGAUCGGGAUUCUUGGUUCUAACAUCCAAAUUCCAGCGAGAUUUAACGUAUUUAAUAUGGUGAAAAUUAAAGCCAGUUCCCAUUGGUACAUGUGUAAGUAAUUUGUAUGAUCCAUCUGUAUUGAUGAUUUAUGAAUAUAUGGAUUCGUAUUUAAAGGCUUACAUGGUCAUUUUGUAUACGGGUAGUGUGCUCAUGUGUAUAACCCUUUCGUGAAGGGGUUUAUAUCUUUGACUUGCACUUCAUUUGGCCUGUCCAAUAUUAAUUUAAAUAAUCAGCAUGCUAAUGCUAAUCCAAUAUAUUAAUAGUAUUUUGGUAGAAACUUGACAUGAUACAUUGGGAGACAGGUGCCGCCAGACAUGGUAAACAAGUGUAGCACAUGAUCUUGCCGACUACUCUUUAUGAUUUUAGUUUUGAAUUUUGAAGUUUGUACAUAUAUAAUCAUAUCAUAUCAUAUCAAGAAGGCUUCCCAUUACAGAUGUACAAGGGUUGUAUCUUGUUAAUCGGUUUUUGUACAUAGUUAUUAUAUUACUGGGAG